RNAcentral lists this ribosomal RNA (482 nucleotides) under uncultured bacterium. RNAcentral's name for it is "partial 16S ribosomal RNA". It matches the Rfam family "Bacterial small subunit ribosomal RNA", at positions 30 to 507 of the family's 1533-position model. The record is from RNAcentral.
AUUGAACGCUGGCGGCAUGCUUUACACAUGCAAGUCGAACGGUAACAGGCCGCAAGGUGCUGACGAGUGGCGAACGGGUGAGUAAUGCAUCGGAACGUGCCCAGUCGUGGGGGAUAACUACUCGAAAGAGUAGCUAAUACCGCAUACGAUCUAUGGAUGAAAGCGGGGGACCGUAAGGCCUCGCGCGAUUGGAGCGGCCGAUGUCAGAUUAGGUAGUUGGUGGGGUAAAGGCUCACCAAGCCAACGAUCUGUAGCUGGUCUGAGAGGACAACCAGCCACACUGGGACUGAGACACGGCCCAGACUCCUACGGGAGGCAGCAGUGGGGAAUUUUGGACAAUGGGCGCAAGCCUGAUCCAGCAAUGCCGCGUGCAGGAAGAAGGCCUUCGGGUUGUAAACUGCUUUUGUACGGAACGAAACGGCUCUGGUUAAUACCCGGGGCUAAUGACGGUACCGGAAGAAUAAGCACCGGCUAACUACGUG